RNAcentral lists this ribosomal RNA (365 nucleotides) under uncultured eukaryote. RNAcentral's name for it is "partial 18S ribosomal RNA". It matches the Rfam family "Eukaryotic small subunit ribosomal RNA", at positions 592 to 975 of the family's 1831-position model. The record is from RNAcentral.
CAAUAGCGUGUAUUAACGUUGUUGCAGUUAAAAAGCUCGUAGUUGGAUUUCUGGAGGGAGCGUCGGCCCGUAUUUACGAGUGCGUGACGUCUCUGUCCAUCCUUGCGGGAAGGCACGGCAUUGAUUUGUUGUGUCGGAUCGCAUCAUUUACUGUGAAAAAAUUAGAGUGUUCAAAGCAGGCUUUCGCUUGAAUACAUUAGCAUGGAAUAAUAAGAUAGGACUUUGGUGCUAUUUUGUUGGUUGAGCCUAAAGUAAUGAUUAAUAGGGAUAGUUGGGGGCACCUGUAUUGCGUUGUCAGAGGUGAAAUUCUUGGAUUUACGCAAGACAAACAGCUGCGAAAGCGUCUGCCAAGGAUGUUUUCAUUA